Long non-coding RNA from Triticum aestivum (bread wheat), 2384 nucleotides. RefSeq lists it as uncharacterized. The transcript has 7 exons. NCBI's taxonomy places the organism in Eukaryota, Viridiplantae, Streptophyta, Magnoliopsida, Poales, Poaceae. The record is from RefSeq and is a predicted model, not a curated record.
GCCCUCACCCCCACAGCCGCCACAACCGGCGACUUUUCCUCUCACCGCCGCCCCCUCUCAUCCCCUCCUCUCAUGGCAGAUCGAGCGACAACCGCGGUGUGGGCGGGCGGCACUAACACGCUGCUCUCGGCCGAGGAGCCGCUCCCGCCGGGCCAACCGCACCCGUCCGUCGCCUGCUCGCCUCCCGCGGCGUCUUCUCCGAGCACACAGACGACGGAGGUCGGAGGCGGUACGCGCUUGUGCUGGCGUGGCCGUGGCUCCACAAGGACGUGCUCGACCCCGCCGGCGCCUAGCCCUUUUCAUGCGCACGCCGGCGUCCCCGCCUACGCCUACUACAGCCAGGACCGGGAGGCGAACGAGGUGAUGCUCGACGAUGAACAUCUGCUCGAGGACAUCCUACUCGACGAUGCUCCUCUUCGCCAGCAUCUCCAACGCGUGGAGGAUUUUCUAGAUCAACUCCCCGCAUAGACCCGCGUCGAGGGAGGAGGAAGCAGAGGCUGGCAACAAGGAGCGGGUGUGGGUGCUCAUCCUCGCCGCUGACCACAAGUGCCGUGAGAAACUUUGGGCAGAAUUUGCUGCCUCCACUGGGCUACUCGUUGUCACCUCAUUCAUCUACGCUUGGUGGUUUAGUGUCCUCUUUCGUUAAACUCUUAAUAUUCCAGAAUCCACUGUUAGAUUACUUGGAGCCGACAACGAAGCAUCAUGAUGGUCUCCAACCUGUAGCGAUCUUGAUCCAUCUGUAGAGUUAUAACCAGGAUGAAAAUAAGACCAAUGAUACAUAGGCGACAAACUAUGCAGGCAACAUUCUCUCCAAUCUUCAUACAAUCUUAUACCUGGAACCGUCGUGUAAGUAUCGUCAAAAUUUUCAGCUACGGGUAUGAUGCUUGCAUUAUAUUCUUCAUCAUUUCCCCCGCUCGUAAGGCCUGCAAUACAUUAUGCAUAAAGCUUGUCACUGCCAGAAAUGAACCGAACGCAUGUGUAGGAAUUUAUGAUAGAGUGCAUCAUACCCGUAGUAACGUCCUCUUUUGGUUGAUGUUCACCUGCCUUGCUUUUCGAAUUCCCCAUACGCACCUAUGGAAUGGCAGUUCACUGACAUUAAAUGACCAUUGCCUGAUGGCAAGAAUAUUUGAAAUAGCGGGGGUGGGAGUAGCAAGAUAACUAUACUAUGCAUGAUGUCCUCUAGAUGUUUUGCACGUGUCUAUAUGUAGUCAUCCUGUCUCCAUCUUAGCAAUGCUAUCAUAUGACAAACAGGGGUUGUGUUCUGGAAUUCAGUUAGCACUGCUUUGAUAAAUAUUUGAGAUAAAAAGAUUACCGAGCCUCACUUUGCUAAAUAUUUGAGAUCUUAUAAACAUAUUUGCAUAACUGUUGUUUUGUUGUUUCCAUGAAAUUCUGCACGUAGCGUCUUGAAGAGACCAAUCUAUAUUUAGCUGAGCUAUGCGAAGUUGCAACCCUCACUAUGUCCACGAGGGUGUUUAUAGUUUUUAUUACCAUGUGGAAACUUUGUGUAUGAAGUUAUGGCACCCCAAAUACUCCCCAUGUGUGCGCGCGCGCAUGCGGUGCCUAGGGUAGGUAGUAGAGUACUUCAUAUACCUGUACUAUUCAUGCUUCAACUUUGGGGUAGUUUUCAUGUGCAUACAACAUAUUGGACCUUGCAGGACCCUCUUGGCAUCCUGUUGCUGGAAAAAAACUACACAGCCGAAUCGUUUUUUUAUUUCUGAAACAAGAUUUCUAUUGCACAAGCCUUCUGAAACAGGAUAGUGUUUUCCAUUUCUUAAAGCUCAAAUCUUGUUGCGCAAAAUUGUAGAUCAAAAUUAGUGUCUGCAUGUCCUGGAUACCUAGCUAGCUAUGUUCCAGUUUGACAAUCAACUUUGUAGAUGCUCAGUUUGACAAAGUUUUUAUAAGAUGUUUAAUUUUUGGAUGGAACAAAAAAGGAAGCAUAGUUGAAAUGCAAUGCAAUCAGACUUGUAAAGGUCUUGCAUUGCACAAAAUGCUAAGGAUGAGGCCAGAAGAAGGUUCAAUGAAGUGAAAAAAUUACUCCUUACUUGGUCUGCAUGCAGUGAUCGACUACUGGUUUGCUUGUCAGUUGUUCUGUUUCCCAUAGAAGCUGCAUCUUUCUAGAAGCUGCUACAUCAGAUUAACCUGGGAAUGAAUCUCAUAACUUCUAUUCUGAUGAGCACUACCUGCCAACCUUAUUUAAUAUGGUUGAUCCAACCGGAGUUGCGAAUUGGUCAGUGACACGUGUUGAUUGCUCUGAAGGAAAAUGACAUCCUAAAGUUUAUAGGGCUGUUGACACAAGCUUUGAACUGCUUAAAAGUAUAGCGGUGAGCUGAGCAUGCGUUGGAUGUAAAUUUUUAUUGCAUGUAUGAGCAUGCGUUGGAUGUAAA